GCUAAUUCACUGGGGGCUGCCAAAAUUUUAGGCCACCCAGUGAAUUAAAUUGCUAUGUUAUUUUCCUUGGGCCAGUUCUUUUUGGGAAAAAUGCACCAAAAAUACUCUACAGCCCAAUGAAGGUGUACAAUUUUUCAGUUUUACUCCACUAUGCAUGCAAGUGGAAGUCAGCACUGGGGACACCUUGAACAUAGAAUUAAAAAGAGGCGCAGCUCAUUUUUAUUUUUCUUUCCCCCCAUUAUUUGCCUUCUGCCCUGGGACAUUGUGUCUCUUCAAAAAAACAAAAAUGCUUCUGUCCGGAGCAUUUGGCUAAAGAGUGCCAUGCUUUUUUUUAAGAACCCCUUUAUGGCUCCCAUUGACUUCAGAUAGAGCUGAUGCUCCAGCAAGCAUUUUCAGGUUGAAUAGAAGCAGAUAUCACCACUUUCAUGCAUUUACAUUUUAGGUGAAUGUAAGAGGCAGUUCUGGGCAUUUUUUCUGCCUGUUGAAAUAUGCUGGCGGAAGUCACAGUGAAGGAUAAGUAGUCUGCUUUUGAUUAUUAUGCCAGCACCAAAAAAACACAACACAAAACCUAUUUUUUAGAUAAAAGUAGGAGCUACUUUUCUACCAGUGUGGUGUAUCAUACACCUAAACUGUUUAAGUUGCAGUCCUUCUAGAUACAUGCCUCUACCCAUCUGACUGGAAUUUGUGGAAAGGCCAGAAAGUUCCCAGCCGAGAGGGAUGCAUGGCACCCAUGGGCUGCAUUGUGAAAAUUCCCUAAUAUAAAACCAGAGCCGCACUGGGACUUCUACCUGCCCAUUCUAAAGCAACCACAGAUGAUGAACAAGCAUAUGACGAUUAUGUUACUAAAGGCAGCAUAAGUGUGGAAACAACCACACAAGAUCACCAUAAAAAUGUGGAUGAUGUUACUGAAAGCAGCAGAAAUUUGGAAACAACAACAGUUGAUGGCCAAGAAAAAGAGGCCGAUGAUGCCAGAAAAAAUGAAAGUGUUGAAAAAGCCACUACUAAUGUGCCACUUCCAGUGCCAGCCUCCUCAGCACUAGACAUGAUGGAAGAUUUGUUGAAAGAUCUGGAUUUGGAUAACGAUAGAAAUGUUAUAAUAAUUUCAACAGUUGCCGCUUGUGGAUUUUUGCUAGUAAUGUGUUCACUGAUGUACUUGGUACUUGCUAUUUCAUGCCUAAAACAUAGGUAGGUGAUUUUGGUAUUAGGUUGGCAAAUAUUCCUUUUAAUAUUCACUUUUAUAUUCAUUUGUGUUUUCAUGUUCACUACUGACUUUUGCACCCCUUUCUUGAUUCUCAGUGAGAAUAGCAACAUAUCCCAUGUAUAAGAAGGCAAUUAGCUCAGAAGAUAAUGUUUAUACUGGAUAGGACACUAUAUUGAAGGAAUAUAGGGACUGGAACAAUGAAAUCAGACUAAAGUAAUGAAGGCAACAGCUUCAGAUCUAGUUCUGCUUUAGGGCUCCUGCAUAAGUCUGUGGCUCUAAAUGGCAACUACACUGAUUUUGCUUCCAGAAAGUGAACCUGACCUCUCAGGCUUUUCUUUAUUUUCAUCUAUUUUAGGCUUUUCUGUUAUUAUUAGCCUAAUCAAGUACUUUGAUGUACAGAUGUAAUAAAGAAGAAUAUAUGCUA
Xenopus tropicalis (tropical clawed frog) is the source of this 1625-nucleotide long non-coding RNA. RefSeq lists it as uncharacterized. The transcript has 6 exons. Lineage: Eukaryota; Metazoa; Chordata; Amphibia; Anura; Pipidae. The record is from RefSeq and is a predicted model, not a curated record.